AUUGAACGCUGGCGGCAUGCUUUACACAUGCAAGUCGAACGGUAACAGGCCGCAAGGUGCUGACGAGUGGCGAACGGGUGAGUAAUGCAUCGGAACGUGCCCAGUCGUGGGGGAUAACUACUCGAAAGAGUAGCUAAUACCGCAUACGAUCUAUGGAUGAAAGCGGGGGACCGUAAGGCCUCGCGCGAUAGGAGCGGCCGAUGUCAGAUUAGGUAGUUGGUGGGGUAAAGGCUCACCAAGCCAACGAUCUGUAGCUGGUCUGAGAGGACGACCAGCCACACUGGGACUGAGACACGGCCCAGACUCCUACGGGAGGCAGCAGUGGGGAAUUUUGGACAAUGGGCGCAAGCCUGAUCCAGCAAUGCCGCGUGCAGGAAGAAGGCCUUCGGGUUGUAAACUGCUUUUGUACGGAACGAAACGGCUCUGGUUAAUACCCGGGGCUAAUGACGGUACCGUAAGAAUAAGCACCGGCUAACUACGUG
This 482-nucleotide ribosomal RNA is filed under the name uncultured bacterium. Its description in RNAcentral is "partial 16S ribosomal RNA". It matches the Rfam family "Bacterial small subunit ribosomal RNA", at positions 30 to 507 of the family's 1533-position model. The record is from RNAcentral.